CACGCCGCAGGCGCCGCGCGGCGAUGCAGGACCGCGGCGGCGCCGAGCCUUGACUAAAGAUGGCCGCGCUGCCCGGUGGGAACAUGGCGGGGGGCGGCCGGGGGGCGCGGGUGCUGCUGCUGCUGCUGCUCGGCGGCUGCCUGGGCCGGCGGCCCCCGGCCGCCGCCGCCGCCGCGCCGCCCGCCGCCGUCCCCUCGGCGGCGGCGGAGGAGACGGUGAUCAUCGGCCUGCGGCUGGAGGACACGGACGACGUCUCCUUCAUGGAGGGGGGCGCGCUGCGGGUGAGCGAGCGGACGCGGGUGAAGCUGCGGGUCUACGGGCAGAACAUCAACAACGAGACGUGGUCGCGCAUCGCCUUCACGGAGCACGAGCGGCGGCGGGGCGGGCGGGCGGCGGCGGCGGCGGGGGCUGCGGGGCGCGGCGGCGGCGCGGCGGGAGGCGGCGGCGGCGGCGCCCCGCAGCGCUGCGGCAUCCGCACCUCGGACAUCAUCAUCCUGCCGCACAUCGUGCUCAACCGCCGCACCUCGGGCAUCAUCGAGAUCGAGAUCAAGCCCCUGCGCAAGACGGAGAAGAGCAAGUCCUACUACCUGUGCACCUCGGUGUCGGCCCCCGCCGCCGCCGCCCUGGGGCCCGGGGCCGCCGGCGGGCUGGCGGGGGCCGAGGGGCCGGCGGGGCCCCCGCCCUGGGGCGAGACCACCUGGAUCUACCACGACGGCGAGGACACCAAGAUGAUCGUGGGCGAGGAGAAGAAGUUCCUGCUGCCCUUCUGGCUGCAGGUCAUCUUCAUCUCGCUCCUGCUCUGCCUCUCGGGCAUGUUCAGUGGCCUCAACCUGGGCCUCAUGGCGCUGGACCCCAUGGAGCUGCGCAUCGUGCAGAACUGCGGCACGGACAAGGAGAAGAACUACGCCAAGCGCAUCGAGCCCGUGCGCCGCCAGGGCAACUACCUGCUCUGCUCCCUCUUGUUGGGCAAUGUCCUGGUCAACACUACGCUCACCAUCCUGCUGGAUGACAUUGCUGGCUCUGGGCUGGUGGCCGUGGUGGUCUCCACCAUCGGUAUCGUCAUCUUCGGCGAGAUCGUGCCGCAGGCCAUUUGUUCUCGGCACGGCCUGGCCGUGGGCGCCAACACCAUCUUCCUCACUAAGUUUUUCAUGAUGAUGACCUUCCCGGCCUCCUACCCAGUCAGCAAGCUGCUGGACUGCGUCCUGGGCCAGGAGAUCGGCACGGUCUAUAACCGUGAGAAGCUGCUGGAGAUGCUGCGGGUCACCGACCCUUAUAAUGACCUAGUCAAAGAGGAGCUCAACAUUAUCCAAGGAGCCCUGGAGCUACGCACCAAGACAGUGGAGGAUGUGAUGACUCCACUCCGAGACUGCUUCAUGAUCGCUGCUGAGGCUGUGCUCGACUUCAACACUAUGUCUGAGAUUAUGGAGAGUGGUUAUACCCGCAUCCCUGUCUUUGAGGGUGACCGCUCCAACAUUGUGGACCUCCUCUUCGUUAAGGACCUGGCUUUCGUGGACCCUGAUGACUGCACUCCGCUCAAGACCAUCACCCGGUUCUACAACCAUCCGCUGCAUUUUGUCUUCAAUGACACCAAGCUUGAUGCCAUGCUGGAGGAGUUCAAGAAAGGCAAGUCACACCUGGCUAUAGUACAAAGAGUAAACAAUGAAGGAGAAGGGGAUCCUUUUUAUGAAGUCCUGGGAAUUGUCACUUUAGAAGAUGUGAUUGAAGAGAUCAUCAAAUCUGAAAUUCUGGAUGAAACAGACCUAUACACUGAUAACAAGACGAAAAAGAAAGUAGCCCAUCGGGACAGGAAGCAGGACUUCUCUGCCUUCAAACAGACAGACAGCGAGAUGAAGGUUAAAAUAUCACCGCAGCUCCUCCUGGCAAUGCACCGUUUCCUGGCAACAGAAGUAGAAGCCUUUGGUCCAUCCCAGAUGUCAGAGAAGAUCCUUCUCAGGCUGCUAAAACAUCCCAACGUCAUCCAGGAGCUGAAAUAUGAUGAGAAGAACAAGAAAGCCCCAGAAUACUACCUCUACCAGCGAAACAAGCCUGUCGACUACUUUGUUCUCAUUUUACAGGGGAAAGUGGAAGUGGAGGCUGGGAAAGAGGGGAUGAAGUUUGAAGCUGGUGCUUUUUCCUACUAUGGGGUGAUGGCCCUGACAGCAUCGCCAGUUCCCUUGUCCCUGUCUCGUACCUUUGUUGUCAGCAGAACAGAGUUGUUAGCAGCAGGUUCUCCAGCUGAAAACAAGUCUCCACCUCGGCCCUGUGGCUUGAAUCACUCAGACUCUUUAAACCGAAGUGAUCGCAUCGAUGCAGUGACGCCAACGUUAGGGAGCAGCAACAACCAACUGAAUGCGUCUUUCCUCCAGGUGUAUGUCCCGGACUACUCAGUGAAAGCACUCACAGACAUUCAGUUUGUCAAGAUCUCAAGACAGCAGUACCAAAAUGCCCUGAUGGCAUCCCGGAUGGACAAAACACCUCAGUCCUCGGACAGUGAAAACACUAAAAUCGAACUGACUCUUACGGAGCUGCAUGACGGUUUGCCGGAUGAGACAGCAAACCUGCUGAACGAACAAAACUGUGUGACUCACAACAAGCCCAACCACAGUAUGCACAGUGAAGGAGCCAUCUAGGAGCUGAGUCCCCACAACCCACCCAUCCCAUCUCCUCAGCAGGACCAGUCCUCGCUCUUUCCUGCCUCCUCCUUGAGUGUGAACACCGUUAGUAUGUGCUUGCAACACUGUGCUGCAUCCAGUGUUCUGAGACCAAAGACUUUUGCAUCCAUUCUGGGAGCAGAAGAGGAAGAAACAGGAAGAAAGGAGCAAAGAGCAAGAUAGAGAGACUAAAGCCCCAAGCGUACUUUGGGAAUGGUGAGCCACCCUUGAGAACGAUGAAAAUACUUCUCGCAGAGUAGAAUCAUGUUUAUUUUUUAUCUGUAUUUUGCACCCUUGUUGGGUUUUUCCUCCUCAAACACAUAUGGAGAAGUUUAAAAACUGCUCCGAUUAUUUUUUCAAGAGAGAUCAUGUUUUUAAAAAAUAUUUUGCAGAGUUUUAAAUUGUUUCUGUCCCUCCCCAACCUGAAGUAAGCUCUGUCGUGGUUUUGUAAAUUGGCUUCAAUGUUCUUAGACCUCUUUUCACCCCUCUCUGGUUCUUUUUGUUGCCCUGUUGAAGAAGUUAGUAACCGGUACUUGUAUGUGUUUGUCUCCUAAGAAUGAGCAAAGCUUCAAGGAACCUCUGGUUUGGGCCACCUGGAGGGUCAAGGGAUGAGUAUCAUUGCAUUCUUCCAGUUAACUUUCAGGGAAGGAGUGAUUAUUUUGGUAUGUAAUGAUCUCUCAAAUUGCAGAAGGUUUCUUUGCAAAACAUACAAAAGUGUUGUUACACUUAGCUUUGUAACCUCCAAAAACUUUGUGUAUGUUGAAGAUGAUACUGGGGGGAAGGGAUUAAUUAGCAAAAUGGCAGUCUUGGGAAAUGAAAGCAGGGGCAGUUUUCCGUAGUGGUGUAACUGAGGGAUUUUCCUUUGAUGUUCCUGAGAAUUACAUCAUUAAGUUAACUCUGUGCACCCCAAAAUGACAAACUUUAAAUAGCCCCAUGCCGUGAUAGUCUGUGCGCCGCUAACUUGGCCACAGCAGACUCACAGUCUUUGUUAAGUAACAGAGAGAACAACGGUCCCUCUUUCCCCCCUUAAAUCUCUAGUGUCAACGGAAAAGAUGCUGCUACAGUAAUGCCCAAAGUACAUCCUCCAGGUGACAGUAAACCUCUGCCAGUGCAAGGAUGGGCUCUGCGGAGGAGUCGGGACCAUCCUGUCCUCUCCAAGAACUGAUAAAACUUUCCAGAUGCGAGUGUAUUGCACUUCAGGGAUUCGGAGAGGUUCACUUCCAGGCUGUUCCCAGCCACAUUCCUUCCUUUGAGAAGAUUCAGUGUAUUUCCUUCUCUCUCUCUCUCUCUCCUUUUAACAGCCAUUUUAGAGAUUACCGUGGUAGCCGAACAGAGAGCUUCCCACCAGGCUGCUCUUAGUGCAGGACAGCCAGUGUCAAGCAGCAGAAAGCAAUUUCUGCAGCCUGAAAACCAGCAUGUGGACUGGGUGCAAGAGAGACCUACCCCGUGGCGGUUGUGCAUCACACCUUGGCAUUCCCCACUCCCUCAAAUGGACUUUAAGUCCCAGCUGGGUCCACGAACAACAAAAAGGUCCCCCCUCUCCCGAUCGUCUCCCAUGUCAGGGUUGUCUAAACAAAAUGGGAACGUUGCCCUCAGCAUUAGGUUCUGGAGAGAAGAACAAAUGAGGCAUUUGCGAUGUCUAGUUCAAGACUGUUCCAUGGCUUUGGUUAGGUAGCAUUUCUCUUCCUUUCUUUACACUCAGAUAAUCUCAUCCGACCCUCCAAGAACCCCCUAGUCCCAAAUGCAACUGCAGUGUGUCCUGCCCCACAUCUCUCCUGCUCUCUGUUCAGGGCAGGCACUUGCCUGUGCGUUCCUGUGCUGUGUCUUUGCAAGUGUUUCCUGGAAAGGUGCAAUAUUUUGCUGCAGUUGCUCCCUGCAGGAAAUCGGAGUGUGUGGCUUUAGGGCAGGUCUUGUGUGCGCGUGUCUCGCUUUUGCGCUCUCUCGGCUUCGGGAAGCAGCCCUGAUUUUUGCUCUCCUCUCUGCAUGCAGCCACAGACGGAUCCUGCAGGCCCGCUCCCUUUCUUGGAAGGGGCAGCAGCUGUAAGGGUAACGUUCCCACAAGGGGGCAUAGAAAUUCCACGGUGUCUCCUAUGUGCGUUGAGUGAUAAGGAGACCAGGCCCCCAAACUUCACUCUCAUGUUCAACAUCUGUUCACUUUUUUGAAUCACGGCUUUUCCCACCUAAAAGGGUUUCCUCAGUCUCCAGCCUUGCUCUGACAUGCCUCUGGCGGCACCGGCCCACCACGUCCACCCCUGGCUGCCUGCAGCAGCCUGAGGUUACCAUGGCUCAGCAUCAGCCCAGGCUGAUCUCAGCCCGGCUCCUUCCUGGAGAGCUGCAAGUAUUGCACCUUUCUCACAGAGCAAAGCGGUGAGAUGUUACUGUGCUUGUCCUGGUGGGGCGAGUGACUUGUCUCCCCACGUUUUAUCUAGUGUUGCUGAAUGUAAAAGUCUAUUCAAAAUGCUUGACGCGGUGGUGAACCUGAGAUGCAGUAUCCGUCUUGUCGACCCUGCCAAAGAAAGGAAGGCUCAAGUCAAGGCAGCUUCCCCACUCUGGGACUGAGGUUGCUUGCUCGAUCUUACUUCUGCUUGUUAUGUCAGGUUGUGGAUUUGUUUUAGUGUCUGUUUCCAUUAAAAAAAAAAAAAAAGAAAAGAAAAGAAAAAAAAAGAGAAAGCCUAUUUUUCCAACCAAAGCCAUGUGAUCCCAAAGCAAAUACCUCCUGCUUCUGCCCAUGCUGCACUGUUCUAAAAUUUGCAGGCAAUUUUUGCAUGACUGUUUUUUGUCAUUUGUACGGUUCCAGUAAUGGAAAAUGAAAUAAUUUCCAUAAAAAUAGUUUGAUUAUAGAUGUAUUUCAUGUGGAAAAUAUGUACCUGACCCAGAGGGGUUAGGAGCUGCUGCUACUAAUUAGCUUGAAGAGCAGGGCAUGGUCCUCUCCACAGAGGGGAAAAAUCCAGUCUCCCUGUUCUCAGGGUAUUUACAGUUUUACUGUUUAACAGAUGGAAGGGGUUCCCAGCCCUUGUGCUGGGAACCGACAUAAGUAGAGGAGCCCUGUGCCUGGCUCAGGAUUGCUGCUGAGACUCAGGACAGUGUUUGCCAAUGCAGAGUCUUGGCUUUCCCUACAGUGAGGGAAGCGCAGUGGCUUCUGCGUCCGUACUGCUGCAGGACGUGUCCUAUCACAGCAGGUCUGGUUUCUCGGGCUUGCUGGCUGCCUGCCUGCAUUCAGGUGGGCUCCGAUGCUGGAUUUUGUGCCACAGUGCCACGUGUACACGUGGCAGAGCUGGCAGUCGGUGCUGCGGUACAGGGCACCUGCCGAUGGCUUUGGGAAUCGCUGGACUUGACCUCAGACCUUGGCAAGGUUUUGACUCGUAGGAGGGAUACUGCAUCUUCGUUUGUCAGCUCCUGUUGCCUUUGUUGUUCACCUUGUCCAUCUGCCUCCAGUUUAUGCAUUUUUCCCUCCUCCAUGCUUCCCCCCCGUUUCCAAAGGGACGGAUUCUGGCGUGUGGGUGACGGGGCUGAUGCUGGUGAUCUUUGCGGAUCAGAAAUCGCUGUCGGCACAGCAGCAGUCUUCUACCUCCGCUUUAGUUGCCGAGAGCCGCGGAAGGGGCCAGAUCCUGCUCCCCGUAGAGCCAGGUCUUGCUCUUUGCUUUGGUGGGUCGUGAAUGCUCGAGCCAGGGAGGAUAGCUGGGAAGCUGGUGGUGACAGACAGCAGUUGACUUUCUGAAGUGUUCCCUCAGCAGCGGCGGUCUUUCUUUUUUCUUCCACUAAUAAAAAUCCCUUAUUUACAACCUU
RNA transcript from Rhea pennata, 6437 nucleotides. It is a transcript of the gene named cyclin and CBS domain divalent metal cation transport mediator 2, with no coding region annotated. The transcript has 9 exons. Lineage: Eukaryota; Metazoa; Chordata; Aves; Rheiformes; Rheidae. The record is from RefSeq and is a predicted model, not a curated record.